RNAcentral lists this ribosomal RNA (245 nucleotides) under uncultured Lactobacillus sp. Its description in RNAcentral is "partial 16S ribosomal RNA". It matches the Rfam family "Bacterial small subunit ribosomal RNA", at positions 116 to 354 of the family's 1533-position model. The record is from RNAcentral. Lineage: Bacteria; Bacillati; Bacillota; Bacilli; Lactobacillales; Lactobacillaceae.
CGUGGGUAACCUGCCCAAGAGAUCGGGAUAACACCUGGAAACAGAUGCUAAUACCGGAUAACAACAGAUGAUGCCUAUCAACUGUUUAAAAGAUGGUUCUGCUAUCACUCUUGGAUGGACCUGCGGUGCAUUAGCUAGUUGGUAGGGUAACGGCCUACCAAGGCGAUGAUGCAUAGCCGAGUUGAGAGACUGAUCGGCCACAUUGGGACUGAGACACGGCCCAAACUCCUACGGGAGGCAGCAGG